Molecule: non-coding RNA, 28 nt
Filed under: Gossypium hirsutum (cotton)
Lineage: Eukaryota; Viridiplantae; Streptophyta; Magnoliopsida; Malvales; Malvaceae
Source: RNAcentral
UUAACAACAAACGACUGACCAAAAUAAA